AUGCUCCUUCAUUAGAAACGGCCACAUCUGGUGGCACAUAAUCCCACCAUCGACCAUAUGAGGAACCCACGUUGGAGUCACAGUCAGAGAUACCCCAAAUAGACUUGGAACCUUUGGAUGAGAGUAAAAACCACCAUGGGCAGCAGCCUCGUACCGCUUUAUAAUACUGGAAUCGGCCAAAUCAUGGGAACCCCGUCCAUCAUUCGCACCCGCAACCCACGCAGGCGAAGCCUGAGCCACCAUUAACGUAGAAGGGUCGUUGUACUCCCUGUUAAAGCGAUAAUAGUAGCGUUGCGCCAAGUUUCCAAAUCGGCCACAAAUCUGACACUGUACCCGAGAUCGAAAACCCCUCCCACGACCACCAGAAAAGGAGCGACCAUCCACACAGGUUCCAUUACUACCAACAGUAGAUCCGCUUCUAUUAGAUUAGCUUGAAACUAUAUAUCCUGCACCACAUGAUGUUGGCGAUUCUCAUAUUCCAACAAAACAUCUAGAAGCUUUUGCAUGGGAAGGGGCUCAGAGGAGAAAGACAUAAGGGUAGGAACGACAUCAUGCUCCGAUGAUAACCUCGUAAGAACAAUCUUAACCUUCUCAGCCUCUGAGAUCCGAGAUCUAGACACUUCAAUCAAGACACAGGAUAACUUGGCUCCGAUCAUGGCACUAACAAGCAAUUUUCAAUGUUCGACACAUCGCACGAAGUUUUUGCAUCUGUGAAACAAGAGAGGAGAGCACCACUAAUCGUGGAUAGUUACCACGACACGAGCAAACUAUAUUGCUGAUGAAACAACGAAACCUCUGGAUUCAGUACCAGUUGACCUUCUGGAGAUGGAACAAAUCGCGGUGGAGCAGUAUCAUGUCGAGGGAAGCACUGAACUAAUUGAGAUGAAAUGGUGGAUGGAUUACCAGUGUUUGCAGAGAUGGAUUCAGUAGAAUUAGCCAUGAAUGCACAACAAGAGAAAGACUCUAGGACUUAGGCGAAAGAUACCAUAGUGUUUCAAAGAUUGAAGUUGGGGGAGAUACAAAAGCUAGAGAAGGAGGAGUUAAAUGUCCAUCAAAAGAAAAGUACUUGUGUGAGUGGACGGUCAAACAAGUUCAAUAUAGGUUUAAGUUUGAAUUUAGUUGCUUGUUUAACUACUACCAAUAUUCAAUUGAUGGUUGAAUGAGCCACCAGUGCCCAUACUCCAAGAUUUAAGAAAUUUUAUAUUUUCUUUUCAAUGAUGAAUCGCGUUAAUGAAUUGUAGGCCAAUUAUCAGUUUACAUUGUUGCUUCUUAAAAGAGGGUGAAAUUUUGUCCGUUGUUUGUUGAUAUGGAAAUGACCAACUAUAUUCUUUUUCAUGGGCUAUCAUGGAAGUUGAAACUAAGGAUACAUAUGUUGGAAUAUAAUGUUUUAAUGUAGUGAUUUCAUCUA
Gossypium raimondii (Peruvian cotton) is the source of this 1408-nucleotide long non-coding RNA. RefSeq lists it as uncharacterized. The record is from RefSeq and is a predicted model, not a curated record. The transcript has 4 exons. NCBI's taxonomy places the organism in Eukaryota, Viridiplantae, Streptophyta, Magnoliopsida, Malvales, Malvaceae.